RNAcentral lists this transfer RNA (70 nucleotides) under Marmota monax (woodchuck). RNAcentral's name for it is "tRNA.Ala". The record is from RNAcentral. Lineage: Eukaryota; Metazoa; Chordata; Mammalia; Rodentia; Sciuridae.
GGGCUGGGGCUGAGUGGUAAAGCGCUUGCCUGGCACGUGUGAGGCCCUGGGUUCGAUCCUCAGUACCACA